Molecule: ribosomal RNA, 499 nt
Filed under: uncultured bacterium
Lineage: Bacteria
Description: partial 16S ribosomal RNA
Rfam family: Bacterial small subunit ribosomal RNA
Source: RNAcentral
GACGAACGCUGGCGGCGUGCCUAAUACAUGCAAGUCGAGCGAAGUUUUUCUGCUGCUUGCGCUAGAACAACUUAGCGGCGGGCGGGUGAGUCACACGUAACGUACCUUCCUCAUAGGCUGAGCCAACUAUUAGAAACGCUAACACAUACCGGAUAACAGCGUUACCUGCAUGGUUGAUGUUUAAUAGUUGGUUUUGCUAACACUACGAGAUGGCUUUGCGUUGCAUUAGCUAGUUGGUGGGGUAAAGGCCUACCGGGGCGACGAUGCAUAAGCGACCGGGGUGGCGGAUCGGCCACACUGGGACGGAGCCACGGCCCAGACUCCUACGGGAGGCAGCAGUAGGGAAUCGUACGCAAUGGGCGGAAGUCUGACGGAGCAACGCCGCGUGAGAGAAGAAGGAGUUCGGUGCGUAAAGAUGUGUUGUUAGGGAAGAACGAGUGUGUAGUAACGAUACGCAGGAGAGACGGUACCUAAUCAGAAAGCAACGGCUAACUACGUG